AUGGCCGCCUCAGCCGGCGCGCUGCGGUUGGUGCACCGCGCUGAUCCAAUGGCAGGAGCCAGGAGCCAGGUGCUUUUCCUGGUCUCCCAUGGGGUGCAGGGCCCAAGCGCUUGGGCCAUCCUCCACUGCACUCCCUGGCCACAGCAGAGAGCUGGCCUGGAAGAGGGGCAACCGGGACAGAAUCCUGCGCCCCGACUGGGACUAGAACCCGGUGUGCCGCGGAGGAUUAGCCUAUUGAGCCACGGCGCUGGCCGAGAAUCUAAUUUAUUUAAAAAAAAAAAAUUGUGGGCUUAUUUGACAGAGGAGAGAGAGAAUGAGGUCAAUCUUCCAUCUGCAGGUUUACUCCUCUCAUGGCCACAAUGGCUGGGGUGGGGCCAGGCUGAAGCCAGGAGCCAGGAACUCUAUCAGGGUCUCCCAUGUGGGUGGCAGGGACCCGGACACUUUCCUAGGUGUAUUAGCAGGGAGCUGGAUCAGAAGCGGAGCAGCCGGUACUGGAGCUGGCAGUGUGAUGUAGGAUCUGGCGUCGCAAGUGGCCGCAGUGCCAGCCCGGAAUUCCAGCUGUUUACACGUGGGAACGAACAGCCUCAAAACCAUGAUCUCCGCCUGGGAUUAACUGGGGACUGGAGCACGGGACACUUGUGUGCCUUUGGAGAGUCAGAAUUAGGGCAGGUGGGAACGGCUCCUUCUGGUCAUGCUGUCUGCAGCUGCAGUCACAUGUCCGGCCCUUCUCCCCUCACCGUCCCUUUGUCGCUCUGCACAGUCAGGGCCCCCGCCCUGGAGUCUGGACACGCUGUGGUCUCAGAAUUGCACCCUUGCGGCAGCUGCAUUCUUCCAGUACUGUGGAGACGGCCUCCUCACGUCUGUCUUCUGUCAGUCCCUGCAGUUGGAAGUGGCCUUGCUCCCCUGGCUGCGUUGUACAAAAUCACUUCAUUAGAGGGUACUUGCAAAAGUGUGUGGAAAAUUGAAUUAAAAGAUGUAUUCAUUUUGGUGGAAAACAAUGGGAAAUCCAUGCAUCUUUUUUCAUCAUGUACAUCUUCCCUGAACAUUUUGAAGACCCUCAUAUGCAAGGAUUUCAACUUUAUUGUUACCAAGAUAAACUCUGUUUCAUUUGCCAAGUGUGGGGAGCAACUCGGACUGUACUGUUGCUGGAAUUGA
Molecule: long non-coding RNA, 1155 nt
Filed under: Oryctolagus cuniculus (rabbit)
Lineage: Eukaryota; Metazoa; Chordata; Mammalia; Lagomorpha; Leporidae
Description: lncRNA (ENSOCUG00000038694.1)
Source: RNAcentral